This 449-nucleotide long non-coding RNA is filed under the name Mytilus galloprovincialis (Mediterranean mussel). Lineage: Eukaryota; Metazoa; Mollusca; Bivalvia; Mytilida; Mytilidae. The record is from RNAcentral.
AAAAAAUAGCCAAUUACACUUAUCAUAUUGUUUUUAUAGUGCUUUUUAUUUAAUAAAAUUAGAUUUUGAAAAGUGCUUGACUAUUGUGAUUAAAUUCCCAGGUUUCUCAGGAAAACAUUUAUUGUCAUUCCUUAUAGAAAUGGACCAUAUUGUUUCCAGCUUUUUUAUGAUUGUUUUACGACUUAAUUGUGCCAGUUUUAGAUACCAUUGUACAUGUAAAUGACGAUGUAUUUUAAACGCCUAUAUUACACAUUGUAUUAUUAUUAGAUACAUUUCAUAAACAGGGGUCUGGAUUUUUUCUUCAUGUCUGUUUCAUAUAAUUUUCAGUCAUUUUUUUCUAUUGUUUAUAUAUAUUUUGCAAUUUUUCUCCAUUCUCACUUUUUUUCCCAUUAUUUUUCUCCCAUUCUCAUUUUUGUGGCAUUAUUUUCUAUGUUCAUCAAACUCUAUCC